This 376-nucleotide ribosomal RNA is filed under the name uncultured organism. RNAcentral's name for it is "partial 16S ribosomal RNA". It matches the Rfam family "Bacterial small subunit ribosomal RNA", at positions 527 to 897 of the family's 1533-position model. The record is from RNAcentral.
GUAGGUGGCAAGCGUUGUCUGGGAAUUAUUGGGGCGUAAAGCGCGCGCAGGCGGUUCUUUAAGUCUGAUGUGAAAGCCCACGGGCUCAACCGUGGAGGGUCAUUGGAAACUGGAGAACUUGAGUACAGAAGAGGAAAGCGGAAUUCCACGUGUAGCGGUGAAAUGCGUAGAGAUGUGGAGGAACACCAGUGGCGAAGGCGGCUUUCUGGUCUGUAACUGACGCUGAGGCGCGAAAGCGUGGGGAGCAAACAGGAUUAGAUACCCUGGUAGUCCACGCCGUAAACGAUGAGUGCUAAGUGUUAGGGGGUUUCCGCCCCUUAGUGCUGCAGCUAACGCAUUAAGCACUCCGCCUGGGGAGUACGGCCGCAAAGGCUGA